This 1123-nucleotide ribosomal RNA is filed under the name Stenotrophomonas maltophilia. RNAcentral describes it as "bacterial SSU rRNA". The stretch from base 1 to 828 matches the Rfam family "Bacterial small subunit ribosomal RNA", at positions 60 to 873 of the family's 1533-position model. Lineage: Bacteria; Pseudomonadati; Pseudomonadota; Gammaproteobacteria; Lysobacterales; Lysobacteraceae. The record is from RNAcentral.
AGUCGAACGGCAGCACAGGAGAGCUUGCUCUCUGGGUGGCGAGUGGCGGACGGGUGAGGAAUACAUCGGAAUCUACUCUGUCGUGGGGGAUAACGUAGGGAAACUUACGCUAAUACCGCAUACGACCUACGGGUGAAAGCAGGGGAUCUUCGGACCUUGCGCGAUUGAAUGAGCCGAUGUCGGAUUAGCUAGUUGGCGGGGUAAAGGCCCACCAAGGCGACGAUCCGUAGCUGGUCUGAGAGGAUGAUCAGCCACACUGGAACUGAGACACGGUCCAGACUCCUACGGGAGGCAGCAGUGGGGAAUAUUGGACAAUGGGCGCAAGCCUGAUCCAGCCAUACCGCGUGGGUGAAGAAGGCCUUCGGGUUGUAAAGCCCUUUUGUUGGGAAAGAAAUCCAGCUGGCUAAUACCCGGUUGGGAUGACGGUACCCAAAGAAUAAGCACCGGCUAACUUCGUGCCAGCAGCCGCGGUAAUACGAAGGGUGCAAGCGUUACUCGGAAUUACUGGGCGUAAAGCGUGCGUAGGUGGUUAUUUAAGUCCGUUGUGAAAGCCCUGGGCUCAACCUGGGAACUGCAGUGGAUACUGGAUGACUAGAAUGUGGUAGAGGGUAGCGGAAUUCCUGGUGUAGCAGUGAAAUGCGUAGAGAUCAGGAGGAACAUCCAUGGCGAAGGCAGCUACCUGGACCAACAUUGACACUGAGGCACGAAAGCGUGGGGAGCAAACAGGAUUAGAUACCCUGGUAGUGGACAUUCCCCACGAAAUUUCCCCGGGUGUUUGGUGCGCCUUUGGGGCGCGCUAUCCCCGCUCACAAGAUUAGUUUCCCCCCCUGCCGGGGUGUUUUUUCGGUAGUAGGAACCCGCGGGUAUUUUAAGAGGGGGGCCGCCAACCACCUGUCGUAUGUUGUUGUUUGUUUUUAUUCACUAAGAAGAAGGAAGUAACCCUGCUUAGGACGUGCGCCGCCGAGUAACUUAUUAGGAGGGUGGUUCGUUUCGGGGGGGGGCAUCCCGACCCCCGGUUGGAGGAAGGCCCGCUUGUUUUGUCCUUGGCAAGGGGGGGGUUUUGGUCCUAACCCGCCCGGCCUGGCCCUCCCCCCCUUAGUUUCCGGUAAAGCCCAAGGUUUGG